This 465-nucleotide ribosomal RNA is filed under the name uncultured bacterium. Its description in RNAcentral is "partial 16S ribosomal RNA". It matches the Rfam family "Bacterial small subunit ribosomal RNA", at positions 28 to 507 of the family's 1533-position model. The record is from RNAcentral.
GACGAACGCUGGCGGCGUGCUUAACACAUGCAAGUCGAACGGUAAGGCUCCAGCUUGCUGGGGUACACGAGUGGCGAACGGGUGAGUAACACGUGGGUGACCUGCCCUGCACUUCGGGAUAAGCCUGGGAAACUGGGUCUAAUACCGGAUAGGACCGCACCGUGAGGGUGUGGUGGAAAGUUUUUUCGGUGUGGGAUGGGCCCGCGGCCUAUCAGCUUGUUGGUGGGGUAAUGGCCUACCAAGGCGGCGACGGGUAGCCGGCCUGAGAGGGUGGACGGCCACAUUGGGACUGGGACACGGCCCAGACUCCUACGGGAGGCAGCAGUGGGGAAUAUUGCACAAUGGGCGGAAGCCUGAUGCAGCGACGCCGCGUGGGGGAUGACGGCCUUCGGGUUGUAAACUCCUUUCACCAUCGACGAAGGGUUUCUGGCGGUAGAUGGAGAAGAAGCACCGGCUAACUACGUG